GGAGGGAGGGUUAGCGAAGAAAGGGGGAAUGGAGGAGGGAGGUACGGAGGAGGCAAGCCGGAGGGGCAGGCAGGAGAGGAGGAGAAGAAAGGGGGCAUAAGAGGAAGCAGCACGGAUGGGCGGAGGGGCAGCGAGAGAAGAGCGGGCACUUACAUAGGUUGCGUUUGGACAGAGAGAGACGAGAGGCCAGCAGCUGCAAACAGCAGGGACAGUAAUGACAUGGUGGCUUCACAAAACUACUACCUGUUGUUCAAGAAUUCUUGAAAACAGUGAUGGCAAUGCAGUGUUAUAAAUGUUUUAAUUCUAGGACCACUUCACAGAAAAUAUCUGAGGUUCCUGCCUGCUAUUCUGCCUUCCCUGGUUCCUCUGGACUUGCGAAGAUUGAUCCUCAGUGGUCUGAUGGCUUCUUUGAUGUGUCUGAGGGUAGCCUAACAGGGUACGAUUUGGGUUCCCCAUCCUUCCACUGUCUCUCUGAGCAUCUUUGUGGGUGUGCAAGUGAGCUUUAUCACUCAACCGAAUAGCUCUUCUGCCACUGAUAGCACUCCGGAUAAUAAUAAGACAAACCAACAAAAACCCCAAACCACACCUCUUCCACCAAAUAGUUAUAACCUUUCAAUUGUAACUGAUUUUUGUUAGUGAAAUUUAAACCUCUCUGGAGGAGAGCACCUAUUUGCUGUUGGACUUUUAAAUAUAUAUAUUUGAUGCUAUGAGUUGUGGGAGGUGAUUACUGCAAAUUGUUCCUUCUUCUCUUAUAAGGAGAAAAUAUCAGAAAACAGUGAAGAAGUGCCAUUUUACAUUGGUCAUACUUUUAUGUUUUCUUUAGUGGCUUUCUGUUUACCUUGGCUUUGAGUUAAAUUAUGAUGGAAAUAGGAGAAGUGAUUUCUUUUUUUGUAAGGAGCUUCAUGUAGGUUGCCAAGAUUAACUUCCAAAGAAUUAAAAGUCACAUUCUAAAUCAUAACAGAAUUCUUCUCUUUUCAUCAAGUUUCAGUUAUUAAGUGAGGAAAAAAAAAAAAAAGAGAGCUGCUUUUGGAUACUCCUUGGAAUUAUGUGGUGCUCAUAGAAGCUGUUGCUAAGAAAUUGCAGAGUUCAAGUUUUUCUUCUUAUAAGAAGAAUGAGGCCAUGAACAGCACUCCAUCUGCCUUAGAAGAACACCUUCAUUUAUAGCUGUAUAUUUAAAUUUAUAUUUUUGAGCACAGACACAGUUGCCUGGCAUGAAAGACAACUUUUCUAGGCAGGGAAUUUAUUGUACGUUGAAAUAAGCAGCUCACAGAAGUGGACAGAACCAGUGUGACAUCAGGCAGCCCAUUCAUGUUAGUUUCCACAUGAAGAACUACUAAAAAGUUGUAAUGUCAGAGUUAUGUCUCUUGUAACAGUGGAUAACAACUCUGCACUGGCUAGAUGCCUUCUGCUGCUCUCUAAGCUGAACAGGAAAUCUAAUUCAUCUCAUGUGGUUUCCUGAUGAAAUACAUACUGACAAUGACAAAUGUAUGAGCGCUGCUAAAUUCAGUUGCUAGAUAAUGAAAGAUACCUUCUGGUUUUUUUUGUUUUGUUUUUUGUUUUUUUUUUUCCUACAAUGAAACUAAACUUUCCAAACAAAUGACUAAAAGUAAAAUUAAAAUAUAAUAUGGAAAUUGCUUCUCUCUUUACUUACCUGAAAAAUAAUAACUAAAACAUAAUUAAGAGAGAGAGAAAGAGAGAUAUUUCUCGUUUAAUUUGUAUAUUUUACAUAUUAAAAAAUGGAAGAUAUUCUCACUGAAAUAACAUCUGUCCUGAAGCUUCACAAGGGCACCUCACAGUUCUUGAGUAAGCUCUGCAUUGUUGCUUAACUGAGAUGACUAAAGAGAAUGAAUGAAUGAAGUGCCAAACUCUUUGAGUACCAUUAAGUCUCCCUCUUUGGGAAGAUAUGCAUUCAAUCACAAGGGAGAGAAAACAGCCAGACAGUGAAAACAGCCAGACAGUGAAAACAGCCAGACAGUGGCUGCUGAAACUACACAGCGGUGCAGGUGAAAUAUUUGGCUAUGAACAGCUAAACUAUUUUGUCAGUUUGGCAAUAAAUUUUAUUCUAAGUAGAAUUCCCUGGUCCACACCCAAAGGCUUGCACUAGCUAUUUUUCCUGGUUCAAACAGAGUGAGAAGGGGAACAACUGGGAUAACCAAAGUCAAACCUGACACCUUCUGUUUCAUGCGAUCAGUGCAAAGUUUGGAAACCUUGUGCAAAGUUCCUGCAGUCUCUGUGUAAAGCUGAGAUGGCUGGCACAGUAAAGCAGGUAGCAGCUCUAGAAGCAAAAAAACUGGAACUCGGGAGCUUAUGCCAGUUUGAUCCCUUCUGCUAUUCUGUAUCAGAGGACAUACUGUGGAUUCUUUAUUUUCAACUUUUAUUUUAAAAAAUAUUUUUGUUUUGACAGAGUUUGUAAUCUCCUACUUUUAAUUGCAGAAAGACUUCAGAAACAUUUAACAUCUGUGCUUUCUCUCAGUUUGCUUGUUCUUGACAAUGCUUGUCUCAGAAAAGCCAUGAUCUUUCAAAUCAUGGUGGUCUAUACUGAUCUCACUGGUCAUUGCAGCACUAGCCAUUAGCAAGUGCAGUGUUACACUAACUAAUUAAAGUCUUCUGGGUUUGGCAAUUAGUUUUAUGUGCUGAUUCACAGCAAGGUACUUACUUGUGCUGGGUUCAUAUGCAGCUGUGUGGCUUCACAACCGCCUUUAGCCAAUUUGAGAAAGUACACUUCCAAAAAGAAUGAUUCUUCUUUUUCUUGCCCAGGUGUGCAUCACCAUUGAUUUCCUUGUGGUUGUACCAGUGUGGCCAUGCAGAAACUCAGAGAAAUUCACUUAACCCAACUGGAAAAAAACAGUCACACAAAAGAUAUUUUCUCAGCUAAGCUGUUUCAGCUGACUGUGGUGAUGAAGCAGCACACCCCCAACACCAGGGGAAGUUGAGAAGAUGUGGCCAGGCACAAACUAGAAUUGCACCCUUUCAGCAGCAGUGGAUGUCAGAUACAAGACCUGUGACACAUUUUCUUCACUGUGGGGUUAGCAGAACACCUCUACACCUAUUCUCUUUGCUUUCAUGAGGCCCCUUCUUCUUUCUCUCCUUUUGUAAGAGGCUCAGCAAUGCUGUGAGGCUGUGCUUGUUUCAUAGCUGGAAAGAGAGGCAUGCUGUUUGGACUCCUGAGCUGCCUUUGCUGGCAGCAUGAUCCACAUUAAUACCUUAUAGCUGUUACUUAGCUCAGGUUUCAAGCCCAGAUUCUACAAUUAUCCACACUAGUUUUUAACUUCAACCUGUGUACAGGGACAAGUUGACUGAUGUACUAGGAGGGAAAACCUCAGCAGGAAAUGCAAACAUGAGAAAUUAGUUUGACCUUGGGAUGCACGGUAUAGAGUUAGCUUAAGUUAUAAGUGACUUCACUUAUAAUAAGUGAAGGAAUAAGCCCAAGAAUGAGAAAUGUCUCACAAAGACUCAGCAUGAGACAUGGUAUAUAAGCAGCAUCAGGACAUGUGGUGGCCUCAUAGUGAUUUUAAAGCAUAUAAUUAAAGUUUCAUGGAAUAUGUGAAUGAGCCUGAAAAUAUGCAGGAAGGAUGAAACAGUUGCCAUUCUCAAAGCAUUUAUGAAAGUUAAUCCCCUGUCUAUCAUGUUACUGAUGCAGAUAUUUACAAAGAGAGUGUAAUGCUGCUUUAACUGGUGCCAUACAUUAACACUCUCUGGAGAGCUACUAUGGCAUGUGAGACAGGUUGGUCUAGUAUCCUCUUUGGCCUUGCUCCUAGACAUUUAUCUUAAGCCAAAAGCUGAACUGAGUAAUCAGGCACUACCAUUUCACUGGGUUUACAAGUCUCACAGUACUCUAUAAUUUGUAGAAUCUCCUUGGCUGGUCAUUUCAUAUUUUUAAAGGAUUUCAAGUCUAAAUUAUAUCAGCAUUUAAAAAAAAAAAAGUUCUUUAUUGCAGGCAUUUUUUUACUUAAAAAAAAAAAAAAAAGUUUCUUGACAAGCCCAGUAUCUCCCAGGCACAAGUUAAUGACCAUUGUUGCCAAUUCUGCUAUUUGGCUUCUGAGGAGAGGAUGCUUAUGCCAAUAGAUGUGUGCUGUGCCAUAGUUUGUGAAGAACAUGUUGGUGUUAGUCCAAGUGUCCCAUCUUCUAAUUUCAGCAGAAGAAGACCCAAACAUCUGAAGAAUGUGCCUGGGAUGUGACUCUUCAGCAGACACCAAAUGCACUCCAGAAAAGAAGCACUGAAAGUAUCGCUUUAGUAUGAAUGAACCUGCCCUACCUACUGAACUUUUCAACUUAUUUUACAGUUACUGAAGGAACACAUUAAAGGCAAGAGUCAGAAGUGACUAUAAAUUAUCUCAGUGGCCAAGAAAGACUUGCUCCCCAUGCUCUUGCUCCCAUCCUUCCUGAUCCACGUGUUCUUGUCUCCUCAAGCACCCAUCCUUCCUUGUUCAGGUUAUAACAGGCUUCGUUGUGAAUUGACAUGAUCCACUGCUGACUGAAUGUGGUUCCCAAAAAGACCUCAUUAGCUGUGGAGCUGGCAUGGCACAAGCAUCAGGAGUGAGUGGUCAGUGCUGGGGCAGAAAGGAAGGGUGGGAAGGGCAGGUAGCAGUGUACAUCAGCUGUGGAGGGGUGUUGAGUCAGCUUCCUAGAGCUGUGGAACCAUCCCUCAAAGAUGAACAGUCUGUCUUGCAACUAAUGACAGUGAAAAUACUAACUAAUAAGGUUCUAUAAACUCUGGUUAACAGUGUUGCUAAAAUUACUAAUGAAGGCAAAAACUGGAAGGUAAUGUUCUUCAAGCCUGUCUUUGCUGCAGGUAUUCCACUGAUAAUGGAGUAAUAUGCAGUUGAAACUUAAUUGGAACACUAAGGAAAGCUUGAACUAUUUAUGGUAUUUAAUAAUUUAAUAGUACAAAGUGCACUGAUUGUAGUAGUAUUAAUUUUUCUAUUUAAUUUAAUUAUUACUUAUAUUUCUUAAUUAAUAAUGCAAGAGUGUAUUUUUGUGUAGCACUUUUUUUUGUGUAGUUUACAUUUUGCACCAGAAUUUAAUCAAGAUCUUCCUGUUGCUUGUAAAAAAUGAAUACAUUCUGGUAUACACACAUUCUGAACACUUGCUCAAUUCUGUCAUCUAUGAGAUCCCUGCAAGGCUCAUAAAGAUGAUCUUAUCACUAAAUAUUUAUUCCAGGAUGUGUAAGAGCCCUCUAAUUUUUACAUUCUUAUGUUUACAACACUCAGGUAAAAACAGGGUGUUUUAUUUCUCCCACUACAGCUGGGAUAUCAAAGCACAGAGAUGUUAAAGUCUGUACUCAAAAAGGUUAUUUAAGAUCAUGCAUCCCACUAGAUGACCUGCCUAGAGUGCUAAGAAAAUCUUUUGUGGAGCAAGCACUGAACUUACAUUUGCCAAAUCCAGGAGGAUCUUCCUUACUACUGGACUUACUGUCUCACUAAGAUUGCAUUAAAGAGUUCUUUAAAGCUAGGUUUAGAGUACCUUGUUGAGUGGGAAUAAAGAUUUUCUUCUAAGGGAAGUUUUGAAUGUAGGUCAUAGGAGGGCAGAAAGGAUAUAAAAUAGCUGCUGAUGCACAUGAUGGCUUUUAUGGGCAAGGAAAAUGAGAGCUGUAAUGUUUUAAUGUUUUGGGAAAAAAACUUUAUCCAUGACAUGAAAAACAAGCUUAAAUUAAGAAAUAUUGGGUUAUACUGAAGCCCUAAGGGAUUGAAGUCAGUAGAGAAUAGUCAUUCCUCUGGAAAAAUAAAGGAGGUACUCCAUAGAUUAACUUAGCAUUGCUCUAGAACAAGAUCUUGUUACUUAGAAAGCCAGUGUGCUGACAGCUGUGCGCCUACUUAGAAUGUAUAGCAUGGAAAAAAAAUAUAAAAUAAUAAAUUUUAAGCUUAUGUCUUAAAUGUGAAGAAAUAAGAUGCUGUAUUUGUGUAAUGGACUUGUUUUGGUGUAUUGAUGGUAAAUUACUUCUCAGUGUUUAAGAUCAUUUAUGAGUGUAACCAUGUCUAUAAAUUGUGUACCACUAUUUUAUAUGAAGCCAGUUUGGUUGAGAUAUUAUUAGUGGACCUGCAUGCAAUUUUUAUGGCUAAGAAAGCAAAUUUUAAAUUGAAGUGCAUAAAAUGAGGAACGAACAUUUUCCAAAGGAAUUUGCUCUGACGUGAAAGAAAUUCUUGGUGAGACCUCUAAUCUCCUAUGCUUGAUAUAGGAGAUGAGCCUAAAGGAAGGAAAGAAGGUGAAUUCUCAACAGGUGGCAUAGACAGAAUAUACUUUAUAAUGACCUGCCUUGUUCUGGGAGUUUUAAGUAUCACUGGUAACAGAACUGGACUAGGUCUGUGCAUGACCUAGUAUGACUAGUCUUACUUUCUAGAAUAUAGUUUCACUUAAUGAAUUUUUUAUAUUUUUGUACAUUUUUAUAUUUUCAUACAUUUUAAUUCAACUUUUAGUUUUUAUUAUGACAUUUUAUUAAUAAAACUUAUUUUAUAUAAUGCAUUGUAUACUGAAAAAUGAGUAUUCAAGUUAUUUUACCGGUUCCAUGAGUAAUGUAUUUUCUAUUCACAAUAUUUUCUUCUACAGUCUGUAUAAAUGUGCUGUAUAAAAUUUAUAUGUUAUAACAAUAAAUUAUUCUCUUCAG
RNAcentral lists this long non-coding RNA (6601 nucleotides) under Taeniopygia guttata (zebra finch). RNAcentral describes it as "lncRNA (ENSTGUG00000021275.1)". Lineage: Eukaryota; Metazoa; Chordata; Aves; Passeriformes; Estrildidae. The record is from RNAcentral.